CCUACGGGUGGCAGCAGUGAGGAAUAUUGGUCAAUGGACGCAAGUCUGAACCAGCCAUGCCGCGUGCAGGAAGACGGCUCUAUGAGUUGUAAACUGCUUUUGUACGAGGGUAAACGCAGAUACGCGUAUCUGUCUGAAAGUAUCGUACGAAUAAUGUUCGGCAAACUCCGUGCCAGCAGCCGCGGUAAUACGGAGGAUUCAAGCGUUAUCCGGAUUUGUUGGGUUUAAGGGUUGCGUAGGCGGUCGGAUAAGUCGGGGGUGAAAGCCCGAGGCUCAACUUCGGAAUUGCCUAUGAUACUGUUCGGCUAGAGAGUAGUAGCGGUAGGCGGAAUGCAUGGUGUAGCAGUGAAAUGCUUAGAGAUCAUACAGAACACCGAUGGCGAAGGCAGCUUACCAGGCUACUACUGACGUUGAGGCACGAAGGCGUGGGGAGCAAACAGGAUUAGAUACCCUUGUAGUC
This 460-nucleotide ribosomal RNA is filed under the name uncultured bacterium. Its description in RNAcentral is "partial 16S ribosomal RNA". It matches the Rfam family "Bacterial small subunit ribosomal RNA", at positions 338 to 795 of the family's 1533-position model. The record is from RNAcentral.